This 132-nucleotide small RNA is filed under the name Escherichia coli. RNAcentral's name for it is "RtT sRNA". It matches the Rfam family "RtT RNA". From Rfam's summary of the family: This family represents a bacterial cis-regulatory element known as RtT RNA. The exact function of RtT is unknown although it is thought that it may be involved in changing the cellular response in relation to amino acid starvation. Lineage: Bacteria; Pseudomonadati; Pseudomonadota; Gammaproteobacteria; Enterobacterales; Enterobacteriaceae. The record is from RNAcentral. RNAcentral also lists the same sequence under 36 other names.
AUUCUGCCCAUGCGGGGAAGGAUGAGAAGCUUCGACCAAGGUUCGACUCGAGUGCCAGCGAGAGAGCGUUGCCGCAGGCAACGACCCGUAGGGCGAAGCGCGCAGCGCUGAGUAAUCCUUCCCCCACCACCA